CAGCAGCCGCGGUAAUACGAAGGGGGCUAGCGUUGUUCGGAAUUACUGGGCGUAAAGCGCACGUAGGCGGAUAUUUAAGUCAGGGGUGAAAUCCCGCAGCUCAACUGCGGAACUGCCUUUGAUACUGGGUAUCUUGAGUAUGGAAGAGGUAAGUGGAAUUCCGAGUGUAGAGGUGAAAUUCGUAGAUAUUCGGAGGAACACCAGUGGCGAAGGCGGCUUACUGGUCCAUUACUGACGCUGAGGUGCGAAAGCGUGGGGAGCAAACAGGAUUAGAUACCCGAGUAGUCCCUGUCUCUUAUAC
Molecule: ribosomal RNA, 301 nt
Filed under: uncultured bacterium
Lineage: Bacteria
Description: partial 16S ribosomal RNA
Rfam family: Bacterial small subunit ribosomal RNA
Source: RNAcentral